Molecule: microRNA precursor, 94 nt
Filed under: Canis lupus familiaris (dog)
Lineage: Eukaryota; Metazoa; Chordata; Mammalia; Carnivora; Canidae
Also listed under: 3 other names
Description: mir-544 microRNA precursor family
Rfam family: mir-544 microRNA precursor family
Source: Rfam by way of RNAcentral
AUCACCUGUGAAUCUUGUUAAAAUGGAGAUUCUAAUUCAGCAUCUAGGGUAGCCUGAGACUCUGCAUUUCUAACAAGUUCCCAGGUAGUACCAA